CCUCCCAAAGUGCUGGGAUUACAGGCAUGAACCACCACACCCAGUCUACAACCAGUUCUUGUUCCCAGCUUUCUCCGUGUGGUAGUACUAAUCUUACGGCCAACCACCAGAGAAUCUUAAAUAGUUGAAAAUUUCUUAAGGGGUAACCUACUUCAGACUCCUGCCUCACCUGGGAAACGACUGACAACAUGAUUAAGAUCCAAGGCUCUAACUCAGUAUUCCAGGGUUCAAAUCCUGGCCAUACUAUUUGCAAUGGAUUCUUGAGCAAGUAACUUCACUCUUCCAUGCCUUGGUUUCAAUGUGAUUAAUGAUAGAACCUAUUUCAUGUGGUUGGAAUGAGGAAUACAUGAAACAAUACAAGUAAAGUACUUAGCUCAGUACUCAGCACAUAGUAAACAAUGUUAGCCAUUAAUAUUAGUCAACAGAUAUUUAUCAUUUUUUCUUAAACUCUGACAGUGCUAGAACUCACACAACUCUUCAGGGAAGCUCAUUCCAACAGUGGAUAUUUGUCAUAUUUUGAAAAGUCUCAAUUCCUUCAACAAAUAUUCCUCAGGUGUCCACUAUAUACCAAGCAUGUUCUAGAGCAUGAGAACAAAGAGAUGACUGAAAACAGUGUUUGUCCUCAUAAAGUCCCUAGUCCAGCAACAGAACUCAGUACCAGGUGGCCCGUGGCUGUCCGUCCCUCUCAGCCCAUUUGGAGGUGACUCUUGCUUCUCUCUUGAUGGAUCAGCUUUCACUGCCCACCCCCAGGGACAUGACCAAAGAGGUUCCUCCUCUCUACCCCUAAGCGGUGAGUCCAUAGGCUCCCUGGAGAGUUCAGUCAUCUCUUCUGGAGCAAGUCACCUAGCAGCAGUGAACCUCCAUUUCUUUAUCUCAAAAAUGGGAGUCAAUAAUCCCUGCCUUAUUGAUGUCACUGGAUUGUCAUAAAAAUGACAUCAUUAUGUAAAGGUCUUUGUAACCUGCCACGUACUCUAUAAUGAUGAGAUACUCCUUAUAUUAAACCAAAGAAAGAAAUGACUCUGCUAAAGAUGGAAUUUUAGACAUCAAAUUAGAACUGAGAGACACUCAAAGAUUCUGGACUGUCUUCUGAGCAGAGAAUAAAAAGUAGCUAUCAUCUGCCCACCACAGACAUGAAAAAACAAGAAAGACAGUUUGCAGAGAGGAGAGAAUGAAACAGGACUGUAGAGAGAAGCAGAGACAAGAAAUGGAUCUUCCCAUCUCGUCAUGAGCUUCCACUUCCAGUGCUUGGCCUUUGGACUUUUCUCUUCAUUAUGCCAUUGGCCAGCAGUGUGACCACAUGGAAGCAGCAUGGGCUCUGAAGCCAGGCUGAUGUGUGUCCAGAUCUAAGCCCUGCCGUCUACUAGCUUGGUGAUCUUGGGUAAGUUAUUUAAUCUCUGAGAGUCCCAUUUCCUCAUUUGUAAAAUGGGGAUAGUCAUACUUAAUACAUGGAAUUGGUUCAAAGGUUUAAAAAUGAGCCAAGUUGUAAAAGAUUGGUGCUUAGCAUGUUCUUUGUAACUGAUUAUCAGUAUUUUUCAGAGACAGCAUAAAUUUUGGAAUCAGAUUCAAAUCCUGGCUUAGUCACUUGAUAUGUCUCUAACUGCAAGUUACUUCUUUAAGUCUCAGCUCUAAGUGCCAUGAAGGUCAAGAUCUUGUCUGUGGUGUUCACUGUUGUCUCCUUAGCAUCUAACACAGAUCCUGACACAUGGUUGUUGAAUGAACCAAUAAAUGAAUGAAAAAUUAAGAUAAUUUCUUACCACACUAUAGUGAGAAUUCUAAAAACUGUACACUCUGUACCACUUACAGUUACAAUGCCCAGUACACAGUAGGCCACAAUAACUGAUUUUUGAUGCUCAAAACAAAUGAAUAUAAGAAAAUAGGAUAUGUAAAGUCCUUGGGCAUUCAUGCUCCCAUAUUUAUCAUGUAAUUAUAGGAGUAGGCAAUAAGAGGAUGUGGCUAAAUGGCUGGCCUGAUGACUAAUAUCGUCUAGCAUUAAAUUGUGUUCAUACCGCCAACACAACACUAUUAAAGGCAGCAAGAAUCACUUGUUUGUUUAGUAAAUAUGUAUUGAGCACAUAGGAUGUAGAUGACGCCAAAAUGGACAAAAUAUUUAUGAACAAGUACAUCUAUAUCAAGGACAGAAUGUGGAGAUGCUUGCUUUCUAGGAAUUGAGGCCUCAGAUGACUGGAGUUUCCAUAUAAAGGAGUUUCCAAAAAGAUCGUAAUGAAUAGACAGAAUACUUGGUAGCCCCUUUCUUUAAUUCGAAUACUACUUUCAUAACUGUGACAUUUCUGCUUCCACUCAUUUAGGCAGAGAGAGUAACCCCUAUGACCUUUGGUCAUCAAUGCAGAUAGUGGAGAAACAGAUUAUGGAGGUUGGGACAAGGGAGUUUCCUACUGCCCUGGAUGUUUCCCUCCCAGUAUUGCAAUAGGAUGGGAAGGAGGACUGCAUAGAUAUAAGGAAUAGGUGGUGGGAGGGUGAACUGCGGCUGUGAGUCUAAAGUUAAAUGAUCAUACCACACCUCAUCCAAAACCUGGCUUCUAGGUGAUUUCACCUAAAAUAUUCCAAACUGAUGCAUGUCAUUCAUGUUCUCCAACACAGAUAAGAGAGUAGACUCCAUAGGUAGUAGCAGAGUCCUGUUUCUCAAGAGGAGGAAAAAGUCCUGAACUGUUAUGCUGAAUUAUCAAAUUUGAAUUUUGUUACCACAUAUUUAUAUAUUGAGACCAAUCAAUCUUAAUUCAAAAUAUAUAAUAUGACAUAUAGUUAAAACAAUAGUAUAUGUCUUCGUAUAAUAAUUUCUAGCCAAAAGAGCAAGACAGAAACCUCCUAGUCUAGCCUUAAGCUUCCUUAGCUCCCUUUGUGCCCUGUAAAGCACUAAUGGUGUCAGUAGCUUUCUGGCCACAACAGGAUACACAGGAUACUGGUAGUAACAGCAAUACGCUCGAAAAAUAAUAAGCAGAAAAUGUUCUAGGAUCAAGGACACAUGAAGAAAAGAAGGUGGGAGGGAGGGGAGGAGAAGGAUGAGGCAAGAAAGAAGAAGAAAGGAGGAGCUCAAAGGAAUGGUCCUUCCACUCUCACUGGCCUUUGGGGAGCUUCUGUAUCAAUUAGCUGGGGAACACGGUGCUGACCUAGGUGAAACAUGAUGCUGGGAGAAUCUUCUACAUCAGGCCCCAGGCUGUAUGAGUACCCCAGGCCACUUCUGGCGGAGUAGCAAACUGCAGUAGGUGAUCCUUCUGGCUCCCUUUAGUCUAGUCCACCCACUUGGUCAACCCCAAAAUGAACAGAGAUAGAAAGGGGAUGAAAAGUAGUUAGGAGUGAACAUAUGUGUGGAAGAGAAGCAGAGAAUUAGCCCCAUUCCUGGACAUGGGCUCACGAAGGUUUAUUUUGGGUAGGCCAGAUGUGAAAGACUUCUCUAUUUUCUAGUGUUCCCAGGGCAACAAAAAUCAGGGCUCAUGUCAUUUGUGAUGAAAAGGAAGUUUAGACUUUUACCAGGUUCUCCUUCCUAAGUGCUUCUGAAAAUCCCCAAGGAAUGCUUACCUGUUCCACACAUCUUCCCUAGCUACUGCUUGUCCCUUCAGCUAAGAGCUAGACUGCUGCUCCAGUCUUCAGCAGGCCACCCCUGGCCAUCUCAGAACCACCUUCCAGAUUGUUGCCAGGCUUCCCUAUCUGCUGUAUUCCCGGCACUGACACAUGCCCAUCCCUGAAUCCCUGAAGUACCACAACAAUCAGGAGGCUUGGGAUAACAGAAGGGAAUUAUGAUAUAGAAAACAGCAUUUUCCUAAAAAAGAAUUGGGCUCCCAAAUCCUUCACCUGCCUCAGGUUGCAUCUUUUCUACGUUGCUGAUUACAAUUUUUUGCUUUCCUUGGCUCCUAACUCCCUCUGUGGAAUGAGAGUGGGCAGCUCCAAGUCCUUUUAUCCAAGAGAAGAAGCCCUUAGGGCUCUGCAGGUGCUGUCAACCCCACCAUACCUCUGAUUUGUAUCUGCCAACAUGGAACAGACAUGGAGAGGAUAAAGAAGUAGGAAGAAGCUGAGAAGAAGGGAGAUGAGAAAGUGCUGACUGAAACAUCAGCACUAUGCUCUAUGGCUCAGAAGUGUCUUCUAAUAGUAACAUUCUAUAUUUUAUUUAUAUAACAACUUUUCUCAUGAGUUAUGCUCUUAUAAGAAAAACUGAAGGACUAUCAAUAGAAAACUUAACCAAGCUGCAAUUUUUGUAACAUGAGGUUGCAGAGUAUAUUCUUUUUUAGGAAGAUGCUAGGCCUGCCUUAUCCCGAAAGAAAAAAGAAUAUGCCUUGUUUAUUGAAAUUGCUAAAAUAUUAAAUUGAUAUCAUGAGUCCCAUUUUAGUGUGUCUGAGUGAGAAUCUGUUGAAGCAGACGGGACAUUAUGGGAAGAAAUCUUACAAAGUAAAAUUAGAUUUUUCAUACACAGAGUAGCAGCUGUUCAGAUUGCAGGAAAAUCCUUAGAAGCCAUUUAUCAGGUGGCAAUGUGGUGAACAACAAAGACAACUCUUCUUUCAGAUGUGAGAAUGGUCCAGCACACCUCUGUGACUGCAGAUGACAGCAUGCUGUGUUCCAAAUAUUGGAACUAUUGAAUAACUGAUGUUCAAAGAUUUAUACAUCUGAAUGAACAUUCUAGAGUGCAAAUUGCCUUUGACUUAACGUGACCAAAAACAGAAUUCUAAAGUGUAAUCACAUGCUGGAUGUGCCCAACGACUAUGAUACAGAGUGAUGUGUGCAUAGGCCAGUGGUUUCUUUAGGUACAAGACAUGCCAAACACAACUGAAUAGCCAGGUUUGAGAUUAGGCAAGUGUUUUAAAGUAGAAAAAGCCACAAUUGGGAUAAAAACAAAGCAAGAAUAUGGGAGACAAACAAGAAAGUACAACGGAGUAAUUGCAACUAAGGCAACUCAAUUGGUAGAUAGGUCUAAGAACCAAAGAGUUCAAACAUUUGUAAAUUAUUUUCCUGCUUUUGGACAGACAGGUCAAAGUUACUUUUCUGAACUAGAAAGAUUUGUAGGGAGAUGAAUUUUAGAGGCAGUAAAGGGCCACCCCAAAGUAAAACUGUCAAGUUAAUAAAGUCUGUUGUCAUGAUGACAAUAGCUUUUGAGAAGAGGAUUGACAUGAUGUCAACGUUUUGUUUUGAGGAAGAUUAAUCUACUGGUAAUAAGAAAGAUGACUUGAAAGGGGACGGGCAGGGUGGAUUCAGGUUUUGUGUGUCUGAAGCUAAUACCAGCUUUAAAAGGGUAGGGGCUCUGUUUAAGAAAAAGAAUACAGAUUCAAGUAUACAAAAUUUGCUAGGGCCCUUCCCAGAGCCUUUGAAUGGCUUCAUGCAAGGAAAGGAGUCUGAAGGUUAAGCUUCCUUACCUUCGAUAAGCCACCUCAUAAGCAGAUGAUAGCUAAGCCACUAACAGUGUCACCCUCAUCUUGCCAGCCACCCAAGUGAGACCCCCAGGAGUCAUCUUUUAUCCUUCAUCCUAUUUCCUCUUCAGUCACCAAGCCAUGCCCAUUUAAUUUCCUAAGUAUUUCUCAAGUUCAUUUAUUUCUUCAUUCUUCAUUCCAGUACCUUAGAUCUACCUGUCACUGCCUCUUAACUACUCCAUUGCAAAUAGCUUUUCCAAACUCGUUCCCUGUUUCCACCCUGUUUACCUCCUAGAAACCUAUCCUUCACCCAGCCGCUCAGAAUACUCUAUCUAUGGGUAGAUCUGAUAAUCUCACACUUCUGGUUAAUACUCUUCAUUAAAGCUUCAUCAGGAGAAGGCCCAAGCCUCCAUAGUAUUAUAAGCAAAGCCUGUGUGAUCUCACCCCUUUGUCAGCUCAGCUCUUGACACCCUUGCUUUGCACUUCUCACAUGUCAGCACAAUACUGCAUUUCUGGCAAAUGCCUUGAAAGUUUUUACAUCUGGGUUUUUGGUUCCUGACUGACCUCUUGGCUGAGAAUUAUCUCCCUUUUCCCUCAUCCCUCCUCCUUCUAAACUCUCUUUACCAGGCUCACCUUUUCCUGGGGGUCUUCAUAGAGACCCACCCCUCUGCCCCCAUCAAGCUGGUGAGGUGCCCUCCUCUGUAAUGACACAUACAGUGCUCCAUCAAGGCACUCAGCACCCUGUGUUAAAAGGACCUGUUUAUAGCUGCCUUUCCCUCUCCUCUCCAGACUGUGAUCUCCUUGGGAAUAGGAGCCACAUCUGAUGCAUUUUUUUAUCCGCAGCACUUCACAGAAUGUAGGUCUCACUAGAUAUUUUUGAAUGAGUGAACAAAUUAAUGAUGAAAUCAAGCACUACAUGAGUUAUUCUCUGUGAUAGAGCAUAGAAAGAUAAGAGAUAGUUCUGGGGUAUGUCUAAGCUUGUGAGUAGGAGAAAGAAAAGAAAGCAAUUAAACACAGAAGACAGAAUAAUCAGUAAAAGGGAUCAAUAGCUAUCGUUUAUGUUGUUUUUCUACUUAUCAUCAAGUUACGUUUCUACAAUGAAUUCAUAUUCCUUUUUAAAAAUGAAAGAAAGGAGUUUAUUAGGGUAAUUGCUAAGCUACUGAGACAAAAAGACCACAAAAUAGAAUGAUGAAAAUGUAGUGUAAAUGUAAUUCUCUCACAUGUAAAAAUCCAGUGGUGAUCAGUUUAGGGCUGGCAGAGGAGCACUGCUGUCCUCAACAUGCUAGCCCUGCCACCUUAACAGCAAUUGCUUCCACUAUGGUUUGAACUUUCCCCCAAAGUUCAUGUGUUGGAAACUUAAUCCCCAAUGCAACAGGAUUGUGGGGUGAGGCCUAAUUGGAGGUGUUUAGGUCAUGAGGGCUCUGCCCUAAUAAAUUGAUUAAUGUCAUUAUCUUGAGAGUCGGUUUGUUAUGACAGUGAAUUCAACCCCCUCUUGCCCACCCUUGUGAUGCCUUCUGUCAUGUUUUGAUUGUAAACCAAAAGUAUCUGAGACAGCUCUUGGUCAAUUUAGAAAGCUUAUUUUGCCAAGGUUAAGGACACACCUGUGUCACAGCCUCAGGAGGUUCUGACGACAUGUGCCCAAAGUGAUUGGGGUACAGCUUGGUUUUAUACAUUUUAGGGAGACAUGAGACAUGAAUCAACGUAUAUAAGAUGUACCUUGGUUAGGUCCAGAAAGGCCUGACAACUCAGAGGGGGGCCUCCAGGUAACUGGUAAAUUUAAAGGUUUUAUGAUUGGCAUUUGGUUGGAAGAGUUAUUAUCAAUAGAAAGAAAUGACUGGGUUACAAUAAGAGGUUGUGGAGACUAAGGUUUUAUCAUGCAGAUGAUGCCUCCAGGUAGCAGGCUUCAGGGAGAAUAGAUUGUAAAUUCUUAUCAGACUCAAAGAGUCUGUUCUAUCAGUAAUUACAAAAAGGAUGAGGGCAUAAUGAGACAUGUGUGGAUCCCACUUCCCAUCAUGGCCUGAAUUAAUUUUUUAGGUUAACUUUGGAAUCCCCUUGGCCAAGAGGAGGGGUGCAUUCAGAUGGCUGGCAGGACUUAUAAUUGUAUUUUUGGUUUACAUGAUGCGGCAAGAAGGCCCUCACCAGAUGUGGCCCCUCAAUCUUGGAUUUACCAGUCUCUGGAAUUAUAAGCCAGAUAAACUUCUAAUGUUUGUAAGUUACUACCCAUUCUGUGCUAUUCUGUUAUAGCAGCACAAAACAGACUAAAAGCUUCCAACCAGUGGUGAGAACAAAAGACAAAUGACAGGACAAGUAGUCAGCUUAAGGGAAGGCAUAAUUUGCCCCCACUCUUGGCCAAAUGUCCAUACUCAACUGCAAGGGAGACUGGAGAAUAUCGUUUCUAGCUGAGCCUCCACAGCUAACAUAUGAGACAGGUUCAUUUUUAUUUUAUUUUUUUAAGGACAGGUUUCACCCUGUCACCCAUGCUGGAGGGCAGUGGUGCAAUCAUAACUCACUGUAGCCUUGAACUCCAGGCUCAAGUGUCCUCCCACCUCAGUCUCCCAAGCAGCUGGUAUUACAGGAGUGAACCACCACACCUGGCUGAAAGUUUUAUUCAUGAAAGGAAGGAGAGAGGAAUACCAGAGACAAGUGGCCUGAUGUAAAGUCUUUUGUUUCUACAAAAUGAGAAAGAAAAAGAAUGUUUUAGCAAAAGCCAGAUUUCAUGGGAUUAAGAGUUUUUGGGCAGCGAACAAGUGAAGAUGAAAAAGUGCAGAUAUUUAUUCAGAUAUAACAGUAAACAGAAAAAAUAGGAUGAUGACAAGAAAGAACUAAAGAGUAAUAGGUGGUGGUGUUUUUGUUUGUUUUGUUUUUCUUGAAGGAGUAGUGCCCCAGUGUAUUAGUCAGGGUUCUCCAGAGAGACAGAACCAACAGGAUAUAUGAAAGGGGAUAUAUUAGGGGGAUUUGACUCAUAUGAUCACAGAGGUAGAGGAGUCCCACAAUAGGCCACCUGUCAGCUGGAGAACCAGAGAGCUGGUAGUGUGGCUCAGUCCAAAUCCAGAAUCCUCAAAACCAGGGAAGCCAACAGUGCAACCCUUAGUCCAAGGUCAGAGGUCCAACAGCCCCUGAGAAGCCUCUGGUACAAGUUCUAGAGUCCAAAAGCCAAAGAACCUAGAAUUGGAUGUCCAAGGGCAGGAGGAGAAAAGGUGUCCUGCUCCAGAAGGGAGAGGGAGAGAAUCUCCCCUUCUUCUACCUGUUUGUGCCAGCUAGGACCCCAGCCCACGUUGGAUGGUGCCCACCCACAUUGAGGGCAGAUCUUCCUCAUUCAGUCCACUGACUCCCAAAUCAAUAAUCUCUGGAAAACCUCACAAAUAAACCCAGAAAUGAUGCCCUACCUGCCAUCUACACCUCCCUCAAUUCAGUCAAGUUGGCACCUAAAAUUCACCAUCACACUGAGUAUGUUUGGAGACAUCAGUGGAGAGAAAGAUAAAAAACUGACAUUUGGCUAGGCAUGGUGCCAUACCUAUAAUCCCAGCUACUGGGGAGGCUGAGGCAGGAAGAUUGCUUGAGCCCAGGAGUUUGAGGCUGCAGUGAGCUACAAUCAUGUCAACACUGCACUCCAGCCUGGGCAACAGAGUGAGAUGCUAUCUCAAAAAAACAAAACAAAACAAAACCUGACAAUCACCCAAGUGCUGUAGAAUACAUAUUCUUUUCAUCAGCACAUGGAGCAUUCUCCAGAAUUGACCACAUCUUAGACCACAGGACAAAUAUCAAUAAAUUCAAAAAGGUGGAAGUCAUAUCUCAUAUAUUUUCUGACCACAAUGGAAUAAAACUAGAAAUCAAUAAAACAAGAGGAACCUCAGAAAAUACAGGACAUGAAUAUUAAACAACAUGCUCCUGAACUACCAGUGGGUCAAUGAAGAAAUUAAGAAGGAAAUUAAAAAAUUUUUUGAAACAGGCCUGGCACGGUGGCUCAGGCCUGCAAUCCCAGCACUUUGGGAGGCUGAGGCGGGUGGAUCACCUGAGGUCAGGAGUUCGAGACCAGCCUGGCCAACAUGGUGAAACCCCCACCUCUACUAAAAAUACAAAACUUAGCUGGUGUGGUGGCAGCCGCCUGUAGUCCCAGCUACUCGGGAGGCUGAGGCAGGAGAAUCGCUUGAACCUGGGAGGCGGAGGGUGCAAUGAGUCAAGAUCGUGCCAUUGCACUCCAGCCUGGACAACAAGAGCGAAACUCUGUCUCAAAAAAAAAAAAAGAAAGAAAGAAAUACUAUCAUAAUCUUUACCUUCCCUUCACCAGACACUCCCUACACAGCAAGCUGACCCUGUGCUGACUUAGAACCUCCAGAGCACCAGAUUACCUCAAGACAGCACAGUCAAUUUACAACCAAAAGUAUGCCUGCAACAGAACUCUCUGCCACCUGGAGAGUAUCCCCAGACGAUGGCCACUUUACAACCUAGCUCUGCCUGCAAUGGUGCCAGCUCGACCACAGGGUAGAUAAGACACCAUAAGUGAGUCAAGUAAACCCCCACCUGCUGGCUCCCUCCCCUGCAUGCUGUUCAUGCCAAGUGCCCCUUUAAAAGCCCCUACUUUCUGCCCCCAAAGAAAAGCAUUAUCCUUAAAAGGAAGAACCUGUAUUUCUUCUCAUAAGCUAAGCUUUGGAAUAAAUCACUUUCUUUAUAACAGAUCCCGCUCUCGUUAACUGGACUCUGCAAGCAGUGAGCAACUGAACCUGUGUUUCAGUUACAGUACGGCAGAUGCCUCUUCAGUCACACUGAAUUCACAUUUGUCCCCUGGUGGCUAGAAGAAUCCAGAUGUACAUGAUAAAUCCACGGAACACAUAUAUGAAAAAUGGAGAUAACAAAGCAUGUCGAUCUUGAAAAGAUGUUACAUGAGCAAUCCUGUAGGUGGGACCCUCCAUGGCCACAAAGGGCCAGAGGUUUUAGCUACUUUGAUUUUCUACCAAGAGCUCAUCCUCCCUUCCCUCUAUCCUUCCCUCCUCAUCACCUUCCUGACCCACUAUUUGCUUUUAAUUUUCUCCAUGUUCUUCUGCAUAUGAUCACCUUCUGGUUUUUGUUCAAUCUCAAAGAAAGAUUUCUAAUCUCUGCCAAGAUACCCACCACUUACCGGGUUAAGAGCAUGGACUCUUAACUCAAAAGACUUGAGUAGCAUCUUAGUCCUUGACCAAUUUAACAUCUUUAAGCCUCAGUUUUCUCAUAUGCAAAUGGAGAUAAUACCUACCUUGUGAUCGGCUUCUGAGAAUUAAAUGGGAUGUCCACGUAAAGUUCUUCGCAUAAUGUUGGCACCUAGUGAUCACCAAUAAAUGUUAAUUUUAUGUAACAGUGCUACCAGAUAAAGCAGCUGGCAUCAGCCCAAAGCCUGACCAGUUCAGGCUGUUGGCUCAAGUGAAAAUAAGUAAUAAAGGAACAUCAAAUACUGGGAGGAAUUACACACAUCCCUCUGGAACAACCUUUAACUAUGUAGACCUUGAAUGAACCAGGAGCCAGAAGGAGUGCAGUCUGGUUUUAACAGCAGUCAGCCUUGGUAGGGCCUCCUGGGGUUGGCCUUCACAACAAUAGGAAGUGCUGAGUCAUCCUGCCCCCGGGGUAGGGUGGGGAAGCAAGCAGAAAUCCUUCAUGGCAGGCCUCCGAGCAAGCAUUCCAGGGCCUACUCUGUCCACUCUGGUCUCCUGACCCAUUUACAGCUGACCUUCUCUUUGUCACAACCCUAUUUAUUCUCCCAUCUCUCGCCCACUGAUCCAACUGGUUAUUUUCCUUCUCUGGACUCAGACCUCCUGAUCCCAGUUCUUGAGGUGCAGCCAAAUGGUCAGGUGUUCUUAUAAACACCUGAACAUUUUCUCCUUUGAAUCAUGGGAUGCCCUGAGCAGGAAAAGUACUAACUUUCUUGUGGGAACAUUGCUCCCGUUCUUCUUUUAAGAGUUAAAUGAGAGGGAGGAAAAAGCAAGUAAAAGAUCUGCACAAAGUGGAAACAUAAAAAUGAAGCUAAGGGGAAAAAUUAGAUGUGUUUUCCAAAAGAUAGAUGGAGCGCAACUAUGUUAUUAAUUUCCUAAUCUUGCCUGUGCAAUCCAAGGGCAUAGCCAGAGUUGUAAAAAUGGCUUGCCAUCUAUUCUGUUAUAAAUUCUCCCCAUAAUAAGUAUCAAUUUUGGUAACUAAUUGACCCUAGCUUUCUACUGUAGGACUGUGAGAUGCAUGGUUUGUUCUGAUUGUCAGGAUGCAGAGCUCUGCAGCAGACUGCAGGUGUCAUGAGUUACAGAGCUGGUCAACACAGAAAAGGAGCAACACAGGAAACGCAUUUCAACAUCUUCAGUCACUGGGGAACCUGAAUUGGCAAAAAUACUUGCCCUUUGAAGUCUUAAAUAUACCAUCCCCCGCCCCAUGUUUCCAUCUAAGCCCCCUACUUCCUGUUUCCUCGCUUGUCAAAUGCGAAGUUGUUACAAGUCUCAAUGAGGAGACUCAGUCCCUACUGAUCCUCUUGCAACCUUGAUCACAGCCCCUGCAAGCAAUAGGAGGUGAGAGGGGCUGAGCAGCUCACAGAGCAGAAACUACCAUCUCUGCAUUUCCUUCCCUCUUACGUACCAAUCUCUGAGAUUGCAUUCUCCCAGCCAGUGGUCACUUUCCACCCCUCAGGUGAUGCAAACAAUAGUCAUCCCAUUGCGGAGGCACCCACAACCUGACUAUGAAUCUUUCUCCACACUGAUCCCUGAAAGUGGCUGUGGAGUGGCUAAGGUUCCUCCAGAAGUGCCUUUGAAGAGGAUGCUUUCCCAGCAGACAAUGAGGGCUGCUCUCUGGUUCACAGAGGGCACACUAUUGGCCCAUUUCCUGAUCUCGAGAUUGUUCUUCUUGGCCAACAUUAUUCAAAGCUUGCCUUCUGUUCACCAGGUCCUGAAAGUUCUGACUUCAAUAUUUGUGCUGAAGAUCAGGCCCCUCGUUUAAAUUGUUACUCAUAUUUGUUUGCAGACUGAUUUUUUGUUUUAGACCCUCGGUCUGUGUACUCAUAUUAAUUCUCCUGGUUGCUAAUGAAAUGAACUGACACAACUUAUUUUAUUUAGUUAGAUUUGUGUUAUUAUUGAGGAACAGGACAGAAUUGUGGAAGGAUAAUUGAGAACUUUUAAACUACUACAGGUUAUUUAAGUUAUUAUUUUAUUAACAUUUCUGAUUAUAAACCUACUGCAAAGUCAUUUUACAAGACAUAAAAAGCUGGGGAAAAUUUAAAUUACCAAGAUAAAAGCACAAUAAUCUCACCACCUAACAGCAAUGAUUAUUCAUUUUGAUGUAUUUCCUUCCAAUCUUUUUCCCCUACAAUUUUUAGUAGGAAUAGUAGGUCUAUUUUUAUUCAUAGCUUAUUCUUCAUUGAAAAAUGGACACUGUUCAAGGGGUGUAGCAUACAUAUUUGCUAGUAUUUCCAACAACUCAGAAAAAUAGGUGUUGCUAAAAUUGUGGAAACUGAGUCCCAGGAUGAUGAAUUAGUAAAUUGUUCAAGCUAGGAUUUAAUCCACACUUGUUUUACUCCUAGGGCUAAAUGCUUUAAGAAGUGAACUCUAAACCAAAGCCUUUUUGUGGAUAUUAUGGAAACAAUGAAAUGCUAAGACAGGGCUGUGGAGAGGUUGAUGCUAUCCCUAGUGAUAGUCAGAUCUGUCCAGUUUAUUGUUAAACCACAUCUACUGAAAGAAAUUUCUUCAUCUGUAUGUAGCCAUUUUUAAAAAGAGAUUUAUUUCUCCACGAAUCCAAACUAUCAAGGCCCAUCAUUGUAAGCCGACUAGAAAGGAAUGGAGAAACUCCUCUGAAACAUCCACAAAGCAGCCCAGUGGGAAGUACACUAAAAGGGAGAGGAGAGUAAAUCUUUGGCAGUUUGGACCACUUUCAACAUAGCACGAGCCUGGGCAAUAUCGUGGCUGCCGGAGACUGCCAGCUACAGAUGAAGCCAGGACAGCAGGGUCCAGGGCUAUUGCCCAGACAUGAAUAGAAGUCAGUGAAGACAGGCAUGUAGUUGCAGUUCUGCUAAAAACAUCUGGGCUCAGAUAAAAACAUAUAUCAGGCAAUUCCUUUGCUAGUCCUGUGCUAGCUUUGGGGCAUUAAAAUAAGUACACACAAAGAAUGGUUUCGCUUCCUUGCCCACAAGGAAUUUCAUUCAUUCAACAAAUAUUUAUUGAACACCUAUGGUGUGCCAGACAUGUUCAGGCUAUAUGUAUACAUCCGUGAACAAAGCAGACAGAGAUCCCUGCUGCGUGUAGCUGACUAUUCAGUGGGAAAAGACAGACAAUAGACAGUAAACACAAUUGAAGCAAGUUGUGCAAAUUCCACAGCCUGCCGUGGUUGCGGUAUAAAGAGCAAGCUUUACUGGGGAAGCUCACAAGUCCAGGAUCAACAAGAAGAGGCACGUGGUCCCUCCAUCUGAUAUUCAUUUUAAGCUCAUUUGUUUCCAAUGUCUGUGUGUGCUCUCAUUUUCCUUUUUAAUUUUAUUAUUUUUAAAUUUGUAAAACCUUUACAUUGCUCAAUAUAUUUAAAGCAAUAUCACCGCCUCUACACAAAAUAUAGAAUUCUAUAUAAAUAUAUAUAUAAUCUAUCUAUUCAUCCAAUCUUUUGUUCCUAAUCUUGGUUUUUUGUUUUUUUUUUUUUGAGACAGGGUCUCACUCUGUUGCCUACAUUGGAGUGCAGUGGCACAAUCAGGGCUUACUGCAACCUUGACUCAAGCGAUCCUCCCACCUCAGCCCACUCAAAUAGCUGGGACUACAGGCCUGCACCACCAGCUGGGCUAAUAGACAAGGCUUCACCAUGUUGCCCAGGCUGGUCUCAAACUCCUGGACUCAAAUAAUCCACCCACCUCAGCCUCCCAAAGUGUCAGAAUUACAGGCAUGAGCCACUGCACCCGGCUGAUAACUUUUCUUUUUCAUAGCUAUUUCGUUCUCUAUUUUGUGGAUGCACCAUAAUUGAUUUAACAAGUCCCCUGUUGAUGGAUAUUUGUUAUUGUUUUUCUCUCUUUUUUUCUUUUCAAUUUGUAUGGGUUCAUAGUAGGUUUAUAUAUUUAUGGGUUAUGUGAGAUAUUUUGAUACAGGCAUACAAAGCCAAAUAAUCACUUCAGGAUAAAUGGAGUGUUCAUCACCUCAAGCGUUUCUUUGUGUUAGAAAUAUUCCAAUUAUACUCUUUUAGUUAUUUUUAAAUGUACAAUAAAUUUUUGUUGACUGUAGUCACCCUGUUGUGCUAUCAAAUACUAGAUUUUAUUCAUUCUAACUAUAUUUUAGUAACCAUUAACCAUCCUCAUUUUCCUCCCCACCCCCACUACCCUUCCUAGCCACCAAUAACCAUUAUUCUUUUCUUUAUCUUCAUCAGUUCAAUUGUUUUAAUUUUUAGCUCCCACAAAUGAGUGAGAACAUGUGAAAUUUAUCCUUCCAUGCCUGGCUUAUUCCAUUUAACAUAAUAUCCUCCAGUUCCAUCCAUGUUGUUGCAAAUGAUAAGAUCUCAUUUUUUAUGGCUGAAUAGUACUUCAUUGUGUGUGCACCACAUUUUUUUUUAAUUUUACUUUAAGUUUCAGAAUACAUGUGCAGAACAUGCAGGUUUGUUACAUAGGUAUACAUGUGCCAUGGUGGUUUGCUGUACCUAUCAACCCGUCAUCUAGGUUUUAAGCCCCACAUGCAAUAGGUAUUUGUCCUAAUACUCUCCUUCCCCUUGCCCUCCACCCCGCAACAGGCCCUGGUAUGUGUUGUUUCCCUCUCUGUGUCCAUGUGUUCUCAUUGUUCAAUUUCCACUUAUAAGUGAGAACAUGCGGUGUUUGGUUUUCUGUUCCUGUGUUAGUUUGCUGAGGAUAAUGGCUUCCAACUUCAUCCAUGUCCCUGCAAAGGACAUGAUCUCAUUGUUUUUUAUGGCUGCAUAGUAUUCUAUGGUAUGUACGUACCACAUUUUCUUUACCCAGUAUAUCAUUGAUGGACAUUUGGGUUGGUUCCAUGUCUUUGCUAUUGUAAAUAGUGUUGCAAUAAACAUACAUGAGCAUGUGUCUUUAUAGUAGAAUGAUUUAUAUUCUUUUGGGUAUAUACCCCAGUAAUGGGAUUGCUGGGUCAAAUGGUAUUUCUGGUUCUAGAUCCCUGAGGAAUCGCCACACUGUCUUCCACAGUGGUUAUACCAAUCUACAUUAACACCAAUAGCAUAAAAGCAUUCCUAUUUCUCCACAGCAUCACCAGCAUCUAUUGUUUCUUGACUUUUUAAUAAUUGCCAUUCUGACUAGCGUGAGAUGGUAUCUCAUUGUGGUUUUGAUUUGUAUUUCUCUAAUGAUCAGUGAUGAUGAGCUUUUUUCCAUAUGUUUGUUGGCUGCAUAAAUGUCUUUUGAGAAGUGUCUAUUCAUACCCUUUCCCCACUUUUUGAUGUGGUUGUUUUUUUCUUGUAAAUUUCUUUAAGUUUCUUGUAGAUUCUGGAUGUUAGACCUUUGUCAAGUGGGUAGAUUGCAAAAAUUUUCUCCCAUUCUAUAGGUUAUCUGUUCACUCUGAUGAUAGUUUUUUUUUGCUUGCAGAAGCUCUUUAGUUUAAUUAGAUCCCAUUUGUCAAUUUUGGCUUUUGUUGCAAUUGCUUUUGGUAUUUUCAUCAUGAAGUCUUUGCCCAUGCGUAUGUCCUGAAUGGUAUUGUCUAGGUUUUCUUCUAGAGUUUUUAUGGUUUUGGGUUUUACAUUUAAGUCCUUAAUCCAUCUUGAGUUAAUUUUUGUAUAAGGUGUAAGGAAGGGGUCCAGUUUCAGUUUUCUGCAUAUGGCUAGCCAGUUUUCCCAGCACCAUUUAUUAAAUAGGGAAUCCUUUCCCCAUUCUUGUUUUUGGCAGGUUUGUCGCAGAUCUGAUGGUUGUAGAUCUGUGGUGUUAUUUCUGAGGCCUCUGUUCUGUUCCAUUGGUCUAUAUGUCUCUUUUGGUACCAGUACCAUGCUGUUUUGCUUACUGUAGCCUUGUAGUAUAGUUUGAAGUCAGGUAGCAUGAUGUCUCCACCUUUGUUCUUUUUGCUUAGGAUUGUCUUGGCUAUACAGGCUCUUUUUUGGUUCCAUAUGAAAUUUAAAGUAGUUUUUUCUAGUUCUGUGAAGAAAGUCAAGGGUAGCUUGAUGGGAAUAGUAUUGAAUCCCAGUGUUUUCUUUAGUAGUUUCAUAGUUUGAGGUCUUAGAUUUAAGCCUUUAAUCCAUUUUUAUUUUAUUUUUAUAUAUACCCAGAGAUAGGGGUCCAGUUUCAUCCUUUUGCAUAUGGACAUCCAGUUUUCCCAGCACCAUUUAUUAAAGAGACUGUCCUUUCCCCAGUGUAUAUUCUUGGCACCUUUGUCGAAAAUGAGUUCACUGUUGAGUAUGUAUUUAUUUCUUGGUUCUGUAUUCCGCUCCAUUGGUCUAUGUGUCUGUUUUUAUGCCGGUACCAUGCUGUUUUUGUUACUAUAGUUCUGCAGUGUAAUUUCAAGUCAUGUAAUGUGAUGCCUCCAGUUUUGUUCUUAUUGUUCAGGGUAGCUUGGGCUAUUCUGUGUCUUUUGUGGUUCUGUAUACAUUUUAGUUUUUUAAUUUUGAUUUCUGUGAAUAAUGUCAGUGUUAUUUUGAUAGGGAUUACAUUGAAUCUGUAGAUCGCUUUGGGUAGUAUGGACAUUUUAAUAAUAUUGAUUCUUCCAAUCUAUUAACAUGGAGAUGGAUAUUUGGAUUGUUUAUAAUCACAUGCUACUAUACAUAAUGUCUCUCAAUAAAUAACUUUCUUCACA
Homo sapiens (human) is the source of this 17053-nucleotide long non-coding RNA. RefSeq lists it as uncharacterized. The record is from RefSeq and is a predicted model, not a curated record. NCBI's taxonomy places the organism in Eukaryota, Metazoa, Chordata, Mammalia, Primates, Hominidae. The transcript is spliced from 3 exons.